UGGGUAACCUGCCUCAAAGAGGGGAAUAGCCUCCCGAAAGGGAGAUUAAUACCGCAUAAUAUGUUUAGUCGCAUGACUUUAACAUCAAAGGAUUUUCUUUUAGAAAUUCCACUUUGAGAUGGACCCGCGGCGCAUUAGCUAGUUGGUGAGGUAACGGCUCACCAAGGCAACGAUGCGUAGCCGACCUGAGAGGGUGAUCGGCCANAUGGACUGAGACACGGUCCAGCCUCCGUAGGGAG
Molecule: ribosomal RNA, 239 nt
Filed under: uncultured bacterium
Lineage: Bacteria
Description: partial 16S ribosomal RNA
Rfam family: Bacterial small subunit ribosomal RNA
Source: RNAcentral